This 211-nucleotide ribosomal RNA is filed under the name uncultured bacterium. RNAcentral describes it as "partial 16S ribosomal RNA". It matches the Rfam family "Bacterial small subunit ribosomal RNA", at positions 28 to 239 of the family's 1533-position model. The record is from RNAcentral.
GACGAACGCUGGCGGCGUGCUUAACACAUGCAAGUCGAGCGGUAAGGCCCUUUCGGGGGUACGACGAGCGGCGAACGGGUGAGUAACACGUGGGUGACCUGCCCUCAGCUCUGGGAUAAGCCCGGGAAACUGGGUCUAAUACCGGAUAUGACUCCAUGACGCAUGUUGUGGGGUGGAAANCCUUGUGCGGCUGAGGAUGGGCCCGCGGCCU